Long non-coding RNA from Momordica charantia (bitter melon), 558 nucleotides. RefSeq lists it as uncharacterized. Lineage: Eukaryota; Viridiplantae; Streptophyta; Magnoliopsida; Cucurbitales; Cucurbitaceae. The record is from RefSeq and is a predicted model, not a curated record.
AAGCAAAAGAAAAAUGGGUUCCAAACAGCAUUCAAUAAUUUUUGAGGUUCUCUUAUUACUCAUGCUUAUUUUGCAAUGCAGCAUGGCAACAGCAAGAACAAAUCCAUGGAUUCUAACUAAUACCGGUGAGAAAACUAUGUCCUUUAAAAUUCCGAAUGAGAUCAUUAAAGGAUCGAACGAGGUGAAAUCAAAUCUAGAAGAUGCUCCGCCUCAAGGUCAUAAUGGAGGUCGGACUCCUAGGAGGCCUCCUUAAAAGAGAUUGCACUUCGCGAAGCUCUCUCAACGUGAGAAAAAGAGACAAACGAGUAUGAAGAUUAUGAGAGAAAUUCUAUAUGAUCCCUAAAUUUCUUUUGGACCAUCCCAAUUUCAUGUUUUACCGAAUUAUAAGUCUCGCAUUUCCUUUUUUUGUAUCAUUAAGAAAAUAAACUCGAGUUGGUUACUCAAAAUAAUAAUGUUAUUUGGAUGUCAUUGUAUAGAGGUUGGAUCUUUUUUAAAAGAGAAUAUUGCACUUUCCUCAACAUGAGAAAAGAGAAAUGGAGACGAAGAUUAUGGUAGAAA